GAGGGAGAGACUGCGCGCCCGCCGAGCGCCAACUCCAUCAGAAGGCGUGCCUGCGAGAGGAGCUGUGAACUCGAGAGAUGAACCAAGCGUACUGCUGCAAGACCAUGAAGAAGAUUGUGAGAAGGUGCCCUGGUUGUGCUCCAUGAGGUACCAGUGGAUGGGGCCAGAACUGAGGAUCAACUUCCAGGACAACUGCUUUCGUCCUAUGUCCGAUGCCUCGGGGUCCCUCGUUCUCUCUUUCACUCUUCCACUCUUAAACAGUGAUGCCUGACUCCCCGGUGCUUUUCCGUGUGGCCUGGACUUCCCACAGCAUGGCAGUAUCAGGUUGCUUACAUAUCUGACAGUGGUUUCUUGAUGUACGAGUAACAGGGAAUAGAAGCUGUAAGGCCAGUGAAAGUGUCCGCUUCAACUAGCACAUGAUCAUUUUGGUCGUAUUCCACUGAGCAGAGCAAUCGCAAAGUCCACCCAGAUACAAGGGAACAGAGAAGUGGAAUUUACUAUCUGUGGCAAAGUGACAUAGUAGCAUCGCAGAGCAACAUGUGCGACUGGAGAUGUUGUGAAGGCCAUCUCUAAAAAGCAUGAUCUCUCAUCUUUGAAAUUGAAAUGAAUGCUUCUUUGAAGGUUCUUUUGUGUUUUAAAACCAAGGAAUAAAGAAGAGAAUAUCAGUGGUACAAUU
This is a long non-coding RNA of Bos taurus (domestic cattle), 676 nucleotides long. The record is from Ensembl. Lineage: Eukaryota; Metazoa; Chordata; Mammalia; Artiodactyla; Bovidae.